UAAAAUUUUAAAUGCUUAUAAGUUGAUAUUAGCUUUCAUAAGUUAAGCCAAACAUUUUUUAAAUCAUAUAUAUAUGCACCAAAUCAAACCAAAUUAAAAGUCCAUUUGAUUAUUGUAGUUCAUCCGGAAUCACACAAAAAUGUUCCAGAUCACCCAUUGAUAAUCUGAGAGGUUGAGUAUGGUGCGGAAAGAGAAAAUUUUACAUUGAUUUUUAAUUUUAAAUAAAAGAAAUAUUUUUUAUUUUAAUUUGACUAAUUUAGUCAACUAAAUAAAAUUACAACUAAUUUUAAUAAUUGAGGUUUAAAAUUUGAGUUUUUGGUAUCAUGAGCAAAA
Molecule: unclassified non-coding RNA, 333 nt
Filed under: Hevea brasiliensis (rubber tree)
Lineage: Eukaryota; Viridiplantae; Streptophyta; Magnoliopsida; Malpighiales; Euphorbiaceae
Source: RNAcentral